RNAcentral lists this ribosomal RNA (570 nucleotides) under Treponema socranskii. RNAcentral's name for it is "bacterial SSU rRNA". It matches the Rfam family "Bacterial small subunit ribosomal RNA", at positions 377 to 945 of the family's 1533-position model. Lineage: Bacteria; Pseudomonadati; Spirochaetota; Spirochaetia; Treponematales; Treponemataceae. The record is from RNAcentral.
GGAACCCUGACGGACCGACGCCGCGUGAACGAAGAAGGCCGGAAGUGUAAAGUUCUUUUCUGUUCGAGGAAUAAGUGUAGGAGGAAAUGCCUACAUGGUGACGGUAGGGCAGGAAUAAGCACCGGCUAAUUACGUGCCAGCAGCCGCGGUAACACGUAAGGUGCGAGCGUUGUUCGGAAUUAUUGGGCGUAAAGGGCAUGCAGGCGGGUCGCCAAGCUCGGUAAGAAAUACCGGGGCUCAACUCCGGAGCUAUAUUGAGAACUGGCGAGCUAGAGUUGCCGAAGGGUAUCCGGAAUUCCGCGUGAAGGGGUGAAAUCUGUAGAUAUGCGGAAGAACACCGAUGGCGAAGGCAGGAUACCGGCGGACGACUGACGCUGAGGUGCGAAGGUGCGGGGAGCAAACAGGAUUAGAUACCCUGGUAGUCCGCACAGUCAACGAUGCACACUGGGCGUGUGCGCAAGAGCGUGCGUGCCGAAGCAAACGCGAUAAGUGUACCGCCUGGGGAGUAUGCCCGCAAGGGUGAAACUCAAAGGAAUUGACGGGGGCCGCACAAGCGGUGGAGCAUGUGGU